This 72-nucleotide transfer RNA is filed under the name Camelus bactrianus (Bactrian camel). It matches the Rfam family "tRNA". From Rfam's summary of the family: Transfer RNA (tRNA) molecules are approximately 80 nucleotides in length. Their secondary structure includes four short double-helical elements and three loops (D, anti-codon, and T loops). The record is from Rfam by way of RNAcentral. RNAcentral also lists the same sequence under 1 other name. Lineage: Eukaryota; Metazoa; Chordata; Mammalia; Artiodactyla; Camelidae.
GAGGGUAUAUCUUAGAGGUAGAGUGUAUGCUUAGCAUGCACAAGGUCCUCGGUUCGAUCCCCUGUAUCUCCA